UUCGCGGUUUUCAGCCAUUUUCUCCCCAUUUCUACCCUACCUCCACCCAUACCAACCUCCAGCAAGAUCCCCUUGACCCCCGAGAGCCGCCGGUUGCCAACCACCCGCUCGCCGGAGCUCCGAUCAGCCCGUUUUCGCCGUUGAAGUUGCUGGUUUCUUCUCUGCUGUUCAGUCCAGAUCAGAAGCAGAAGACAGCAAGGUUUUGGAGACUUCGUGG
This 217-nucleotide long non-coding RNA is filed under the name Eucalyptus grandis. Its description in RNAcentral is "long non-coding RNA (EGRA_LNC005160)". Lineage: Eukaryota; Viridiplantae; Streptophyta; Magnoliopsida; Myrtales; Myrtaceae. The record is from RNAcentral.